Molecule: long non-coding RNA, 638 nt
Filed under: Androctonus crassicauda
Lineage: Eukaryota; Metazoa; Arthropoda; Arachnida; Scorpiones; Buthidae
Source: RNAcentral
UCGUGUUAUAAUUUUGCCAUUCACAACACCGGGAAUAACACCUUUAACACGAAUCUAUGGAAUGAGUCCAUGGCCAGAAAGGGAUCAGCUGAAAUAAAUUCGGCACUUCUGAAGCGCAUCACCGACAGAUACUCAUAGUCGGAACAAGGGCGAGAAAGAAAGGUGAUAGUGUGGUCCGACCGCUGUGUGGGCCAAAAUAAUAACUGGAAACAUGUUGCCUUGUAUUUCUACCUCGUCGCACAAUAGUACUUUAGUGAAAUAAACCAAAAGUUCCUAUGCACAAGCCACAGUUUCUUGCGUUGCGAUCGUGAUUUUGUUCACAUUGAGGAAAAGAAGAGUCAGCCAGGUGAUGGUAUCUUCUCAGUGGAGCGAUGUCAUUGCAGAAGUCGUUAGAAAUCAUCCGUUCAGUGUUACAACUUUGACGCAGUCAGACUUCAAAGACCUGAGCGGAAUCGAGGAUGUCUCGAAGAGGACCUCAAAACUCAAAAUCACUGAAGUUAUGUGGCUAAAGUUUUCUCACGAUGAUCCAUUCGCAGUAAGCGUUCGUGCUAGUCACAACCUACUUCGUCCAUGGGAAAGAUACGAGAUCCUGAAACUGCCUAAACGAAACAGCAACCAUGCAGCCUUUCCUAAGACGU